This 269-nucleotide ribosomal RNA is filed under the name uncultured prokaryote. Its description in RNAcentral is "partial 16S ribosomal RNA". It matches the Rfam family "Bacterial small subunit ribosomal RNA", at positions 524 to 792 of the family's 1533-position model. The record is from RNAcentral.
UACGUAGGGGGCGAGCGUUGUCCGGAAUUACUGGGCGUAAAGGGUGCGUAGGCGGCCUGAUAAGUCAGAUGUGAAAUACCAGGGCUCAACCCUGGGGGUGCAUUUGAAACUGUUGGGCUUGAGUGCAGGAGAGGAAAGUGGAAUUCCUAGUGUAGCGGUGAAAUGCGUAGAGAUUAGGAGGAACACCAGUGGCGAAGGCGACUUUCUGGACUGUAACUGACGCUGAUGCGCGAAAGCGUGGGGAGCGAACAGGAUUAGAUACCCCUGUA